GCCACUGGUCUGCAGGCCACACUCUGAGUAGCAAGGAUUUAGACAACACAACAGGACUGCAGAGUCUGGUCCUCCCUAAGGCUGAUGUGAGCUCGGGUGUGAACAGCUGCAAUCCACAGCUCCAGGAUUGGAUUUCUGCAGUUUCUGGCUGGGUGGGAACGGCCACAAUUGCUGUGCCUGUGCAUUUACAGAUGUUCGCACAGUAGGCAAGGAGGUUAUUCUCAGCAGUCCUCCCCCUGUGGGACUAAAGCAUUUAAAAGAUCCUGUCUGAAGUAUUUUAUACGAAUCAACUCUCUGAAUUUAAAAAGCACAAUCUUAUGGAAUAGGUGCUAUUGUUUCCCCCGUUUGAAAAGUCAGGUAAGCUUUCCAAGGUCACAGGGCUCGUGAGUGAGGAGCUGAGUGCUGAGGUCUCACCCCAUGGGUGCCACUGCCUCCAUUUGAAUGUCAACGCAACUCAAAAGGGUUCUAUUUGACAGGCUUGUGUCUACAAUUACCACGGUCCCGGCGAAAAUGAAGUAGAAGAAAACCCAUGUUAAUCACUGAAAACAACCUGUCAAGGUCCCACUGCUACUGAAUAAAAUCCAACAGAAUAAAAUCUGCCCAGUC
This is a long non-coding RNA of Myotis daubentonii (Daubenton's bat), 606 nucleotides long. RefSeq lists it as uncharacterized. Lineage: Eukaryota; Metazoa; Chordata; Mammalia; Chiroptera; Vespertilionidae. The record is from RefSeq and is a predicted model, not a curated record.